GAUGAACGCUGGCGGCGUGCCUAAUACAUGCAAGUCGAGCGAACGGACGAGAAGCUUGCUUCUCUGAUGUUAGCGGCGGACGGGUGAGUAACACGUGGAUAACCUACCUAUAAGACUGGGAUAACUUCGGGAAACCGGAGCUAAUACCGGAUAAUAUUUUGAACCGCAUGGUUCAAAAGUGAAAGACGGUCUUGCUGUCACUUAUAGAUGGAUCCGCGCUGCUUUAGCUAGUUGGUAAGGUAACGGCUUACCAAGGCAACGAUGCAUAGCCGACCUGAGAGGGUGAUCGGCCACACUGGAACUGAGACACGGUCCAGACUCCUACGGGAGGCAGCAGUAGGGAAUCUUCCGCAAUGGGCGAAAGCCUGACGGAGCAACGCCGCGUGAGUGAUGAAGUCUUCGGAUCGUAAAACUCUGUUAUUAGGGAAGAACAUAUGUGUAAGUAACUGUGCACAUCUUGACGGUACCUAAUCAGAAAGCCACGGCUAACUACGUG
RNAcentral lists this ribosomal RNA (496 nucleotides) under uncultured bacterium. RNAcentral describes it as "partial 16S ribosomal RNA". It matches the Rfam family "Bacterial small subunit ribosomal RNA", at positions 28 to 507 of the family's 1533-position model. The record is from RNAcentral.